RNAcentral lists this ribosomal RNA (253 nucleotides) under uncultured prokaryote. RNAcentral describes it as "partial 16S ribosomal RNA". It matches the Rfam family "Bacterial small subunit ribosomal RNA", at positions 524 to 776 of the family's 1533-position model. The record is from RNAcentral.
UACAGAGACUGCGAGCGUUAUUCGGAUUCACUGGGCGUAAAGGGUGCGCAGGCGGCCGUGUGUGUGAGGCGUGAAAGCCCGGGGCUUAACCCCGGAAUUGCACCUCAAACUACACGGCUAGAGCAUUGGAGAGGGUAGCAGAAUUCAUGGUGUAGCAGUGAAAUGCGUAGAUAUCGUAAGGAAGACCAGUGGCGAAGGCGGGUCUCUGGACAGUUCCUGACACUGAGACACGAAGGCCAGGGGAGCAAACGGG